GCCCUUAUAUCCUCCCUGCAUGACCCGUCUCUUCUUAAUUCGUUCGCAGUAGAAUUUCGAUCUCAUCUUUUUUGGGGGCGUUUUCCGGCCGGCCGUCUUUCUACACCUACAUUCAUGGCGCAGCGCGCGGCAUCGUCAGGAGCAGGAAUCUACCGGACGGAGGAUCCGUAGUUCCCUCCAAGGUGUUUCUGACCAGAUCUAUUUAUUACUAGUACCACUACUCAGUUCUUCCCCUACCGUACUCUGUCUCUUCUUUCCUUUCCAGGCUUACUGUUAGGCUCGAGAGCCGAUCCACAAACGGCGCCGCGUGUGUCAGGGAUAAGAUGAGCUCAGCAAGAGGCAGAGUGGAGGAGGAGGUGAGGAAAGAGCAAGGAAAGGCACAAUACGGUGGCACGGUCGGCAGAUCUAUCCCGGCCUGCCGCCGUUUCCGCACUACCAUGCAUGUCAUCAGGAUUGUGUCUCCAUCGGU
RNAcentral lists this non-coding RNA (469 nucleotides) under Zea mays. Lineage: Eukaryota; Viridiplantae; Streptophyta; Magnoliopsida; Poales; Poaceae. The record is from RNAcentral.